AGUGAACGCUGGCGGUAGGCCUAACACAUGCAAGUCGAACGGCAGCACAGGAGAGCUUGCUCUCUGGGUGGCGAGUGGCGGACGGGUGAGGAAUACAUCGGAAUCUACUCUGUCGUGGGGGAUAACGUAGGGAAACUUACGCUAAUACCGCAUGCGACCUACGGGUGAAAGCAGGGGACCUUCGGGCCUUGCGCGAUUGAAUGAGCCGAUGUCGGAUUAGCUAGUUGGCGGGGUAAAGGCCCACCAAGGCGACGAUCCGUAGCUGGUCUGAGAGGAUGAUCAGCCACACUGGAACUGAGACACGGUCCAGACUCCUACGGGAGGCAGCAGUGGGGAAUAUUGGACAAUGGGCGCAAGCCUGAUCCAGCCAUACCGCGUGGGUGAAGAAGGCCUUCGGAUUGUAAAGCCCUUUUGUUGGGAAAGAAAUCCAGCUGGCUAAUACCCGGUUGGGAUGACGGUACCCAAAGAAUAAGCACCGGCUAACUUCGUGCCAGCAGCCGCCGUAA
This 506-nucleotide ribosomal RNA is filed under the name uncultured bacterium. RNAcentral's name for it is "partial 16S ribosomal RNA". It matches the Rfam family "Bacterial small subunit ribosomal RNA", at positions 29 to 523 of the family's 1533-position model. The record is from RNAcentral.